RNAcentral lists this ribosomal RNA (207 nucleotides) under uncultured bacterium. RNAcentral's name for it is "partial 16S ribosomal RNA". It matches the Rfam family "Bacterial small subunit ribosomal RNA", at positions 568 to 774 of the family's 1533-position model. The record is from RNAcentral.
AGCGCAGGCGGGAAGACAAGUUGGAAGUGAGAUCUAUGGGCUCAACCCAUAAACUGCUUUCAAAACUGUUUUUCUUGAGUAGUGCAGAGGUAGGCGGAAUUCCCGGUGUAGCGGUGGAAUGCGUAGAUAUCGGGAGGAACACCAGUGGCGAAGGCGGCCUACUGGGCACCAACUGACGCUGAGGCUCGAAAGUGUGGGUAGCAAACA